RNAcentral lists this ribosomal RNA (408 nucleotides) under uncultured bacterium. Its description in RNAcentral is "partial 16S ribosomal RNA". It matches the Rfam family "Bacterial small subunit ribosomal RNA", at positions 28 to 526 of the family's 1533-position model. The record is from RNAcentral.
GACGAACGCUGGCGGCGUGCUUAACACAUGCAAGUCGAACGGAGUGGCGAACGGGUGAGUAACACGUGGGUGAUCUGCCUUGCACUUCGGGAUAAGCUUGGGAAACUGGGUCUAAUACCGGAUAGUGCAAGAUGAGCUCGCGGCCUAUAAGCUUGUUGGUGGGGUAAUGGCCUACCAAGGCGUCGACGGGUAGCCGGCCUGAGCGGGUGUACGGCCAAAUUGGCACUGCAAUACGGCGCAGACUCCGACAGGAAGCAGCAGUGGGAAAUAUUGCGCAAUGGGCGGAAGCCUGAUGCAGCGACGCCGAGUGGGGGAUGAAGGUCUUCGGGUUGUAAACACCUUUCGACAGAGACGCGGUACCUGUAUAAGAAGCACCGGCUAACUACGUGCCAGCAGCCGCGGUAAUAC